Molecule: non-coding RNA, 279 nt
Organism: Spodoptera litura
Lineage: Eukaryota; Metazoa; Arthropoda; Insecta; Lepidoptera; Noctuidae
Source: RefSeq, a predicted model, not a curated record
AUUAUGUCAGGAGAUAGCAGUAUAUUACACUUCAGUUAAUCCAAUUUAUUGCCACCAAACUGGACGCUACCCGUAGUAUAUUAUUAGAAAAGCCACAGGAUCUUUGGCAUGGCCCAGUUAACGAAAACCGCUGACCCAAAUAAUGUAGGGGCUCAGUUUAAGUUAAGGUCAGCCGACAAGCAUAGCAAAGGAUGUCUGCAUUCAAACUACAUUUGGGAACAACGAAACGUAGCCAUAAGCGUUUUAUUAAUUUUAUCGAAUCUUCUAUAACUUUAAAGA